This 72-nucleotide transfer RNA is filed under the name Streptococcus pneumoniae. RNAcentral's name for it is "tRNA-Glu(ttc)". It matches the Rfam family "tRNA". From Rfam's summary of the family: Transfer RNA (tRNA) molecules are approximately 80 nucleotides in length. Their secondary structure includes four short double-helical elements and three loops (D, anti-codon, and T loops). The record is from RNAcentral. RNAcentral also lists the same sequence under 1 other name. Lineage: Bacteria; Bacillati; Bacillota; Bacilli; Lactobacillales; Streptococcaceae.
GGUCCGUUGGUCAAGGGGUUAGGACACCGCCUUUUCACGGCGGUAACACGGGUUCGAAUCCCGUACGGACUA